This 882-nucleotide ribosomal RNA is filed under the name Triticum aestivum (bread wheat). Its description in RNAcentral is "partial small subunit ribosomal RNA". Lineage: Eukaryota; Viridiplantae; Streptophyta; Magnoliopsida; Poales; Poaceae. The record is from RNAcentral.
AUGCUUCAUGCACGCUUGCCCUCAGCGCUGGAGCCACUGGAUACCGCUAGCUCAGUUCUGGUACAACUCCUCCUUCCACUCCAGUAUCGGUAUGUCACCCUUCAAAGCAAUGUUUGGCCACGAACCACGGCACUGGGGGAUCACAGCAACCAGCAAAUGUACAGUUCCUGCUUUGCAAACGUGGCUCGACGAACGAGCAGUAAUUCAAGACUUGCUCCAGCAACACCUCCACCGAGCGCAGCAGCAAACGAAAGCCCAAGCAGACAAAAAAAUGCUCCCCUCGAGCUUUCUCAGUGGGAGACGCAGUUUACCUCAAGUUUGCAGCCUUACAUUCAUACAUCAGUGGCUCGCCGCGCCAACCACAAGUUAUCUUUCAAGUCCUUUGGGCCUUUCAAGAUCAUAGCUAAGAUCAACGAGGUUGCUUACAAACUGGACCUCCCGGCGCACUCCAAAGUGCAUCCGGUGUUCCACAUUUCUUUGCUGCGCCACUAUCUCACCCCGGGUACUACAGCUUCAGCUUCCUUACCAGCUCAUUCUGACAUACCGGUGGUGCUUGUUGCAGUAUUACAGCAGCGGUGGCGGCAGAAGAUUGGAUCGAUGAUUGAGCAGGUGCUCGUUCGUUGGUCCAAUCAUGCAGCACUCCAGGACACCUGGGAGGACAAGCUGGCUCUCCAGGCCCGGUUCCCGGCUGCAAAGGCUUGGGGGCAAGCCUCUUCGCAAGGAGGAGGGGAUGUCAGCGCCCCUACACCAGCCAUCUCCAAUGGGCACACUGACAAGGGUGGCCCAAGCACUGGGGGCUCGGCCAGCUCACCCCCCAGCCCAAGGCCCUUGAGGAACAGAUGGACCAAUGCACGUGUCGCUUGGCCAGAGUGGACGCAGUGA